GGGGUGUUAGCUCAGCUGGUAGAGCAGCGGACUUUUAAUCCGUUUGUCAUGGGUUCGAUCCCCGUACGCCCUACCA
Molecule: transfer RNA, 76 nt
Filed under: Methylotenera sp.
Lineage: Bacteria; Pseudomonadati; Pseudomonadota; Betaproteobacteria; Nitrosomonadales; Methylophilaceae
Description: tRNA-Lys
Rfam family: tRNA
About the family: Transfer RNA (tRNA) molecules are approximately 80 nucleotides in length. Their secondary structure includes four short double-helical elements and three loops (D, anti-codon, and T loops). Further hydrogen bonds mediate the characteristic L-shaped molecular structure. tRNAs have two regions of fundamental functional importance: the anti-codon, which is responsible for specific mRNA codon recognition, and the 3' end, to which the tRNAs corresponding amino acid is attached (by aminoacyl-tRNA synthetases). tRNAs cope with the degeneracy of the genetic code in two manners: having more than one tRNA (with a specific anti-codon) for a particular amino acid; and 'wobble' base-pairing, i.e. permitting non-standard base-pairing at the 3rd anti-codon position.
Source: RNAcentral